Molecule: long non-coding RNA, 230 nt
Filed under: Crocodylus porosus (Australian saltwater crocodile)
Lineage: Eukaryota; Metazoa; Chordata; Crocodylia; Crocodylidae
Description: lncRNA (ENSCPRG00005010355.1)
Source: RNAcentral
CCGCACAGUCCUGGAUUUACAAAAGCUAACGUGAGGGCAGCAAGGACAGUGAUGGUCGAACAAUGUGACGCCCUCCAUUUAAUAACCAACACCAGCACCAACGAGGACAAGCCCCAGACUGGAUGUUAGCGAUGACCCUCAACCACUGUCCGAACGCUGACUCGGCCCAGACGAUGGCAGAGGAUGGGGAGAUGCUCUUGCGCUUAAACUUGUGGCUGUGUGGUGGUGGC